This 253-nucleotide ribosomal RNA is filed under the name uncultured bacterium. Its description in RNAcentral is "partial 16S ribosomal RNA". It matches the Rfam family "Bacterial small subunit ribosomal RNA", at positions 524 to 776 of the family's 1533-position model. The record is from RNAcentral.
UACGUAGGGUGCGAGCGUUGUCCGGACUUAUUGGGCGUAAAGAGCUUGUAGGUGGCUCGUUGCGUCGGGAGUGAAAACCUGCGGCUUAACCGCAGGCCUGCUUCCGAUACGGGCGAGCUAGAGUUCGGCAGGGGAGACUGGAAUUCCUGGUGUAGCGGUGAAAUGCGCAGAUAUCAGGAGGAACACCGGUGGCGAAGGCGGGUCUCUGGGCCGAUACUGACGCUGAGGAGCGAAAGCGUGGGGAGCAAACAGG